AGUGAACGCUGGCGGUAGGCCUAACACAUGCCAGUCGAACGGCAGCACAGUAAGAGCUUGCUCUUACGGGUGGCGAGUGGCGGACGGGUGAGGAAUACAUCGGAAUCUACUUUUUCGUGGGGGAUAACGUAGGGAAACUUACGCUAAUACCGCAUACGACCUACGGGUGAAAGCAGGGGAUCUUCGGACCUUGCGCGAUUGAAUGAGCCGAUGUCGGAUUAGCUAGUUGGCGGGGUAAAGGCCCACCAAGGCGACGAUCCGUAGCUGGUCUGAGAGGAUGAUCAGCCACACUGGAACUGAGACACGGUCCAGACUCCUACGGGAGGCAGCAGUGGGGAAUAUUGGACAAUGGGCGCAAGCCUGAUCCAGCCAUACCGCAUGGGUGAAGAAGGCCUUCGGGUUGUAAAGCCCUUUUGUUGGGAAAGAAAAGCAGCAGGUUAAUACCCCGCUGUUCUGACGGUACCCAAAGAAUAAGCACCGGCUAACUUCGUG
RNAcentral lists this ribosomal RNA (492 nucleotides) under uncultured bacterium. Its description in RNAcentral is "partial 16S ribosomal RNA". It matches the Rfam family "Bacterial small subunit ribosomal RNA", at positions 29 to 507 of the family's 1533-position model. The record is from RNAcentral.